CGGGACGGGGUGGAGUAAUGUCUGGGAAACUGCCUGAUGGAGGGGGAUAACUACUGGAAACGGUAGCUAAUACCGCAUAACGUCGCAAGACCAAAGAGGGGGACCUUCGGGGCCUCUUGCCAUCGGAUGUGCCCAGAUGGGAUUAGCUAGUAGGUGGGGUAACGGCUCACCUAGGCGACGAUCCCUAGCUGGUCUGAGAGGAUGACCAGCCACACUGGAACUGAGACACGGUCCAG
Molecule: ribosomal RNA, 236 nt
Filed under: uncultured bacterium
Lineage: Bacteria
Description: partial 16S ribosomal RNA
Rfam family: Bacterial small subunit ribosomal RNA
Source: RNAcentral